CCACGUGGCGCCGGCCCUCGGUCACCAGCUGGCCGUCCUUCUUCCACACCGUCUCGGGCUUGGGCUCGCCGGUCACGUAGCAGCUGAGGCGCGCGUGCUUGCCUUCAGUCACCGUGCAGGAGGAAAGAGGGUUUUCAUUCCCUUCUGAAUGUUAGGAGGGAAGGCAUUUUCCAUCCUUGACCAGCUUGUAGAUGACACACAUUCAGCAAACGCACAUCCCAGCAGCACCGAGAGAACACACAGCUGGGUUGCUUACAAAUACACUACUUCAAAGUAAACUUUCUCUAGUAGCAUAUCAGAAGCAAAGUAAAAUCUAUUUGGAGCAAGUAAAUCUGACUGCUACCCCACUAUUUUGAAGCAUACAUGGGAAGCUGGUUCCUGGACCCCCGCAUAUACCAAAAUCUGUGCAUACUCAAGUUCUACGGUCAGCCCUGUGGAACCCAAGCAUAGGACAAGCCGGCCCUCCCUAUACACACAGGUUUGACAUCCUGAGAACACUGCUGGUUCCCUUCCCAUUUGGUUCCAGAAAAUCUGCGUAUAAGUGGACUCAGUGGUGCAAACCUAUGUUGUUCAAGGGUCAACUAUAUAUGAUGAAUUAUUGUUACCUACAGUCACUCUACCAUGCUACUAAACACUAGAACUGAUUCAUUUUCUCUGACUGUGU
This 664-nucleotide long non-coding RNA is filed under the name Homo sapiens (human). RNAcentral describes it as "OBSCN antisense RNA 1". The record is from RNAcentral. Lineage: Eukaryota; Metazoa; Chordata; Mammalia; Primates; Hominidae.